RNAcentral lists this ribosomal RNA (433 nucleotides) under uncultured bacterium. RNAcentral's name for it is "partial 16S ribosomal RNA". It matches the Rfam family "Bacterial small subunit ribosomal RNA", at positions 29 to 507 of the family's 1533-position model. The record is from RNAcentral.
AACGAACGCUGGCGGCAUGCCUAACACAUGCAAGUCGAACGAGACCUUCGGGUCUAGUGGCGCACGGGUGCGUAACGCGUGGGAACCUGCCCUUAGGUUCGGAAUAACUCCCCGAAAGGGGUGCUAAUACCGGAUAAUGUCUUCGGACCAAAGAUUUAUCGCCUUUGGAUGGGCCCGCGUUGGAUUAGCUAGUUGGUAGGGUAAAAGCCUACCAAGGCGACGAUCCAUAGCUGGUCUGAGAGGAUGAUCAGCCACACUGGGACUGAGACACGGCCCAGACUCCUACGGGAGGCAGCAGUGGGGAAUAUUGGACAAUGGGCGAAAGCCUGAUCCAGCGAUGCCGCGUGAGUGAUGAAGGCAUUAGGGUUGUAAAGCUCUUUUACCCGGGAUGAUAAUGACAGUACCGGGAGAAUAAGCUCCGGCUAACUACGUG